GUACUUUGCUCGUUUACGUUUUGUGCCGUGUUCCUUCUUCUUCAAUAAUGGAAUGAUUUAUCCUUGUAAAUUUCUAAGUUACAGGUGCACGCGCAUGUUAAUCGACGGUUGCCAACAUCCCGCAAAACGAUCGACGGAAGGAAAACGGUGUCCGGUUUUAAAAUAUAAAGAUUUCAUCACAGCUCUUUCGUAGAAGAGCGCACUUCAAGGACGCCUGGGAUACGGCUAAACAUGCGCAGCACCAGUCCGUGACGUCAUUUCCAGACAGGCGCCGGCUGAACACGUGCAGCACCAGUCGAGGAUGUCCUAGCGAGAAGGGCAGAAGGAGGAACGAGAGGAAGGGUAACGGAACCGCUACACUUGUAGGGGGUGAAGCAUCCAGCCGUGUACAGAGUGUGAGUGUGCCAAAACACAUGUGGAAAGAGGAGGUCCAAUAAAUAGCAUGCGAAAGUGUGCAUAAAGCAAAAAGAAAAAGCGUCACUACUACAACCAGCAAUCCGAAAAUAUAAGGG
Molecule: long non-coding RNA, 512 nt
Organism: Anopheles gambiae (African malaria mosquito)
Lineage: Eukaryota; Metazoa; Arthropoda; Insecta; Diptera; Culicidae
Exons: 3
Source: RefSeq, a predicted model, not a curated record